AGUGAACGCUGGCGGUAGGCCUAACACAUGCAAGUCGAACGGCAGCACAGUAAGAGCUUGCUCUUACGGGUGGCGAGUGGCGGACGGGUGAGGAAUACAUCGGAAUCUACUUUUUCGUGGGGGAUAACGUAGGGAAACUUACGCUAAUACAGCAUACGACCUACGGGUGAAAGCAGGGGAUCUUCGGACCUUGCGCGAUUGAAUGAGCCGAUGUCGGAUUAGCUAGUUGGCGGGGUAAAGGCCCACCAAGGCGACGAUCCGUAGCUGGUCUGAGAGGAUGAUCAGCCACACUGGAACUGAGACACGGUCCAGACUCCUACGGGAGGCAGCAGUGGGGAAUAUUGGACAAGGGGCGCAAGCCUGAUCCAGCCAUACCGCGUGGGUGAAGAAGGCCUUCGGGUUGUAAAGCCCUUUUGUUGGGAAAGAAAAGCAGCAGGUUAAUACCCCGCUGUUCUGACGGUACCCAAAGAAUAAGCACCGGCUAACUUCGU
Molecule: ribosomal RNA, 491 nt
Filed under: uncultured bacterium
Lineage: Bacteria
Description: partial 16S ribosomal RNA
Rfam family: Bacterial small subunit ribosomal RNA
Source: RNAcentral